This 460-nucleotide ribosomal RNA is filed under the name uncultured bacterium. RNAcentral describes it as "partial 16S ribosomal RNA". It matches the Rfam family "Bacterial small subunit ribosomal RNA", at positions 338 to 795 of the family's 1533-position model. The record is from RNAcentral.
CCUACGGGAGGCAGCAGUGAGGAAUAUUGGUCAAUGGCCGGAAGGCUGAACCAGCCAUGCCGCGUGAAGGUCAGUGCCCUAUGGGCGUUAAACUUCUUUUGUGCGGGAGCAAUAAUGGUCACGUGUGGCCAGACGAGAGUACCGUACGAAUAAGCAUCGGCUAACUCCGUGCCAGCAGCCGCGGUAAUACGGGGGAUGCAAGCGUUAUCCGGAUUUAUUGGGUUUAAAUGGUGCGUAGGCUGUGAGGUAAGUCAGCGGUGAAAUGCCCCCGCUCAACGGGGUGAAGGGCCAUUGAUACUGCCUGGCUGGAAUGCGGAUGCGGUGGGAGGAAUGUGUGGUGUAGCGGUGAAAUGCAUAGAUAUCACACAGAACACCGAUUGCGAAGGCAUCUCACGAAUCCGCGAUUGACGCUGAUGCACGAAAGCGUGGGUAUCAAACAGGAUUAGAUACCCUAGUAGUC